Molecule: small RNA, 159 nt
Filed under: Chrysemys picta bellii (western painted turtle)
Lineage: Eukaryota; Metazoa; Chordata; Testudines; Emydidae
Description: TUC338 (ENSCPBG00000009016.1)
Source: RNAcentral
UAGACAGCCCCUUUAUCUCACUGUGGGCCAGGUCCAGCACAGGUGAUUGCGUGACAAAAUUCUUACACAUUGUCCUCCCAAUCAGCCUCUUCCCUGCCCUGGAGGAUCCCCAUCUUGAGGGUUGUUCAGUCUCCAUAGCCCAUUCAAUCCUUGGCUUCU